CCUACGGGGGGCAGCAGUGAGGAAUAUUGGUCAAAGGGCGCGAGCCUGAACCAGCCAAGUAGCGUGAAGGAUGACUGCCCUACGGGUUGUAAACUUCUUUUAUAAAGGAAUAAAGUGAGGCACGUGUGCCUUAUUGCAGGUACUGUAUGAAUAAGGACCGGCUAAUUCCGUGCCAGCAGCCGCGGUAAUACGGAGGAUCCGAGCGUUAUCCGGAUUUAUUGGGUUUAAAGGGAGCGUAGAUGGGUCGUUAAGUCAGUUGUGAAAGUUUGCGGCUCAACCGUGACAUUGCAACUGAUACUGGCAGUCUUGAGUGCAGUUGAGGUAGGCGGAAUUCGUGGUGUAGCGGUGAAAUGCUUAGAUAUCACGAAGAACUCCGAUUGCGAAGGCAGCUUACUGUACUGCCACUGACAUUGAGGCUCGAAGGUGUGGGUAUCGAACAGGAUUAGAUACCCCAGUAGUC
RNAcentral lists this ribosomal RNA (460 nucleotides) under uncultured bacterium. RNAcentral's name for it is "partial 16S ribosomal RNA". It matches the Rfam family "Bacterial small subunit ribosomal RNA", at positions 338 to 795 of the family's 1533-position model. The record is from RNAcentral.